RNAcentral lists this ribosomal RNA (1048 nucleotides) under Salmonella enterica subsp. enterica serovar Derby. RNAcentral's name for it is "partial 23S ribosomal RNA". It matches the Rfam family "Bacterial large subunit ribosomal RNA", at positions 711 to 1756 of the family's 2925-position model. The record is from RNAcentral. RNAcentral also lists the same sequence under 4 other names. Lineage: Bacteria; Pseudomonadati; Pseudomonadota; Gammaproteobacteria; Enterobacterales; Enterobacteriaceae.
AGACCCGAAACCCGGUGAUCUAGCCAUGGGCAGGUUGAAGGUUGGGUAACACUAACUGGAGGACCGAACCGACUAAUGUUGAAAAAUUAGCGGAUGACCUGUGGCUGGGGGUGAAAGGCCAAUCAAACCGGGAGAUAGCUGGUUCUCCCCGAAAGCUAUUUAGGUAGCGCCUCGUGAAUUCAUCUCCGGGGGUAGAGCACUGUUUCGGCUAGGGGGCCAUCCCGGCUUACCAACCCGAUGCAAACUGCGAAUACCGGAGAAUGUUAUCACGGGAGACACACGGCGGGUGCUAACGUCCGUCGUGAAGAGGGAAACAACCCAGACCGCCAGCUAAGGUCCCAAAGUCAUGGUUAAGUGGGAAACGAUGUGGGAAGGCCCAGACAGCCAGGAUGUUGGCUUAGAAGCAGCCAUCAUUUAAAGAAAGCGUAAUAGCUCACUGGUCGAGUCGGCCUGCGCGGAAGAUGUAACGGGGCUAAACCAUGCACCGAAGCUGCGGCAGCGACACUCAGGUGUUGUUGGGUAGGGGAGCGUUCUGUAAGCCUGUGAAGGUGGCCUGUGAGGGUUGCUGGAGGUAUCAGAAGUGCGAAUGCUGACAUAAGUAACGAUAAAGCGGGUGAAAAGCCCGCUCGCCGGAAGACCAAGGGUUCCUGUCCAACGUUAAUCGGGGCAGGGUGAGUCGACCCCUAAGGCGAGGCCGAAAGGCGUAGUCGAUGGGAAACGGGUUAAUAUUCCCGUACUUGGUGUUACUGCGAAGGGGGGACGGAGAAGGCUAUGUUGGCCGGGCGACGGUUGUCCCGGUUUAAGCGUGUAGGUGUGUGUUCCAGGUAAAUCCGGUUCACUUUAACACUGAGGCGUGAUGACGAGGCACUACGGUGCUGAAGCAACAAAUGCCCUGCUUCCAGGAAAAGCCUCUAAGCAUCAGGUAACAUCAAAUCGUACCCCAAACCGACACAGGUGGUCAGGUAGAGAAUACCAAGGCGCUUGAGAGAACUCGGGUGAAGGAACUAGGCAAAAUGGUGCCGUAACUUCGGGAGAAGGCACGCUGACA